GAUGAAGAACGCAGUGAAAUGCGAUAAGUAAUGCGAAUUGCAGAAUUCAGUGAAUCAUCGAAUCUUUGAACGCACAUUGCGCCCGCCAGUAUUCUGGCGGGCAUGCCUGUCUGAGCGUCGUUUCGACCCUCGCGCCCGGCUUCUGUCGGGGGCGGUGUUGGGGAUCGGCCACACCCUUCAGUGGGAGGCCGGCCCCUAAAUUCAGUGGCGACCACGCUGUAGCCUCCCCUGCGUAGUACUAAAACCACCUCGCAGGCGGAGAGCGGUGCGGCCCGCCGUAAAACCCCCCAACUUUUACAAGGUCGACCUCAGAUCAGGUAGGAAUACCCGCUGAACUUAAGCAUAUCAAUAACGGAGGA
RNAcentral lists this unclassified non-coding RNA (359 nucleotides) under soil metagenome. Its description in RNAcentral is "partial contains 5.8S ribosomal RNA, internal transcribed spacer 2, and large subunit ribosomal RNA". The stretch from base 1 to 120 matches the Rfam family "5.8S ribosomal RNA", at positions 35 to 154 of the family's 154-position model. The record is from RNAcentral.